CCUUAGAGUUUGGAUCCCUGGCUCAGGAUGAACGCUAGCGGGAGGCCUAACACAUGCAAGCCGAGCGGUAUGGAUCUUUCGGGAUCCAGAGAGCGGCGUACGGGUGCGGAACACGUGUGCAACCUGCCUUUAUCAGGGGGAUAGCCUUUCGAAAGGAAGAUUAAUACCCCAUAAUAUUUAGAAUGGCAUCAUUUUAAAUUGAAAACUCCGGUGGAUAGAGAUGGGCACGCGCAAGAUUAGAUAGUUGGUGAGGUAACGGCUCACCAAGUCUGCGAUCUUUAGGGGGCCUGAGAGGGUGAUCCCCCACACUGGUACUGAGACACGGACCAGACUCCUACGGGAGGCAGCAGUGAGGAAUAUUGGACAAUGGGUGCGAGCCUGAUCCAGCCAUCCCGCGUGAAGGAUGACGGCCCUAUGGGUUGUAAACUUCUUUUGUAUAGGGAUAAACCUUUCCUCGUGAGGGAAGCUGAAGGUACUAUACGAAUAAGCACCGGCUAACUCCGUGCCAGCAGCCGCGGUAAUACGGAGGGUGCAAGCGUUAUCCGGAUUUAUUGGGUUUAAAGGGUCCGUAGGCGGAUCUGUAAGUCAGUGGUGAAAUCUCACAGCUUAACUGUGAAACUGCCAUUGAUACUGCAGGUCUUGAGUGUUGUUGAAGUAGCUGGAAUAAGUAGUGUAGCGGUGAAAUGCAUAGAUAUUACUUAGAACACCAAUUGCGAAGGCAGGUUACUAAGCAACAACUGACGCUGAUGGACGAAAGCGUGGGGAGCGAACAGGAUUAGAUACCCUGGUAGUCCACGCCGUAAACGAUGCUAACUCGUUUUUGGUAUUUCGGUAUCAGAGACUAAGCGAAAGUGAUAAGUUAGCCACCUGGGGAGUACGUUCGCAAGAAUGAAACUCAAAGGAAUUGACGGGGGCCCGCACAAGCGGUGGAUUAUGUGGUUUAAUUCGAUGAUACGCGAGGAACCUUACCAAGGCUUAAAUGGGAAAUGACAGGUUUAGAAAUAGACUUUUCUUCGGACAUUUUUCAAGGUGCUGCAUGGUUGUCGUCAGCUCGUGCCGUGAGGUGUUAGGUUAAGUCCUGCAACGAGCGCAACCCCUGUCACUAGUUGCCAUCAUUAAGUUGGGGACUCUAGUGAGACUGCCUACGCAAGUAGAGAGGAAGGUGGGGAUGACGUCAAAUCAUCACGGCCCUUACGCCUUGGGCCACACACGUAAUACAAUGGCCGGUACAGAGGGCAGCUACACAGCGAUGUGAUGCAAAUCUCGAAAGCCGGUCUCAGUUCGGAUUGGAGUCUGCAACUCGACUCUAUGAAGCUGGAAUCGCUAGUAAUCGCGCAUCAGCCAUGGCGCGGUGAAUACGUUCCCGGGCCUUGUACACACCGCCCGUCAAGCCAUGGAAGUCUGGGGUACCUGAAGUCGGUGACCGUAACAGGAGCUGCCUAGGGUAAAACAGGUAACUAGGGCUAAGUCGUAACAAGGUAACCAUA
RNAcentral lists this ribosomal RNA (1487 nucleotides) under Chryseobacterium candidae. RNAcentral's name for it is "bacterial SSU rRNA". It matches the Rfam family "Bacterial small subunit ribosomal RNA". Lineage: Bacteria; Pseudomonadati; Bacteroidota; Flavobacteriia; Flavobacteriales; Weeksellaceae. The record is from RNAcentral.